GUCGGCCUGGCCCGGCAGGUCGGGCUCGUUGAAGCCGAGCAGGUGCGUGCCCUCCGCGGCGGCCCGGCCCAGUUCGGCGUCGGUGACCGAGCC
RNAcentral lists this transfer RNA (93 nucleotides) under Streptomyces pilosus. Its description in RNAcentral is "tRNA-Phe(gaa)". Lineage: Bacteria; Bacillati; Actinomycetota; Actinomycetes; Kitasatosporales; Streptomycetaceae. The record is from RNAcentral.